Molecule: small RNA, 29 nt
Filed under: Bombyx mori (domestic silkworm)
Lineage: Eukaryota; Metazoa; Arthropoda; Insecta; Lepidoptera; Bombycidae
Description: piRNA piR-bmo-1887268
Source: RNAcentral
UUUCGCAUUACAUAUCUGGCAGCCUUUCC